Molecule: unclassified non-coding RNA, 211 nt
Filed under: Hevea brasiliensis (rubber tree)
Lineage: Eukaryota; Viridiplantae; Streptophyta; Magnoliopsida; Malpighiales; Euphorbiaceae
Source: RNAcentral
CAAUAGUAGAUGAGCUUCCAUAUGUAGAGCUUUUUCUCACAAACCAAAGUCAAUUUGGGAUCAUUGGGCAACCAUUUACCAGGGGUGGAUGGGGAUUUGCUUUUCAAAGAGAAUCUCAACUUGCUGUUGACAUGUCUACUGCAAUUCUAAAACUUUCCGAGACUGGUGAGCUUCAGAGGAUCCAUGAGAGAUGGUUCUGUAAGAAGGGCUG